UCUCUUCAUUGACUAUAUAUCCAAAUGCCAGGCAGACAUUUUCUAUAAGAACACUAUUUUCAAUGGCACAUAUUUCUUUUUCUGAGUGAAUAGGUAAAGUAUAGUUUAACAACUCUUGACCAACCCUCGGAGGUCGAAAAUUGGCAUUUGGGCUUGGACUAAUCGAUAGUCUUCAAGAACCUAAAGCUUCAUGCUUGACAAAUUUUUAGUCCUUUGUAGUUGUUGCUAGAGCAUUUAAAUGCAAAC
This 246-nucleotide long non-coding RNA is filed under the name Olea europaea (common olive). Its description in RNAcentral is "long non-coding RNA (OEUR_LNC010241)". Lineage: Eukaryota; Viridiplantae; Streptophyta; Magnoliopsida; Lamiales; Oleaceae. The record is from RNAcentral.